This 148-nucleotide signal recognition particle RNA is filed under the name Pan troglodytes (chimpanzee). RNAcentral's name for it is "Metazoan signal recognition particle RNA". It matches the Rfam family "Metazoan signal recognition particle RNA". From Rfam's summary of the family: The signal recognition particle (SRP) is a universally conserved ribonucleoprotein. It is involved in the co-translational targeting of proteins to membranes. The record is from Rfam by way of RNAcentral. Lineage: Eukaryota; Metazoa; Chordata; Mammalia; Primates; Hominidae.
GCCGGGCAUGGUGGCGGGUGCCUGUAAUCCCAGCUUCUUGGGAGGCUGAGGCAGGAGAAUUGCUUGAACCCAGGAGGCGGAGGUUGCAGUGAGCGGAGAUUGUGCCACUGUACUCCAGCCUGGGCAACAGAGCAAGACUCCGUCUCAA